Podarcis lilfordi (Lilford's wall lizard) is the source of this 69-nucleotide non-coding RNA. The record is from the annotation of a GenBank genome assembly. Lineage: Eukaryota; Metazoa; Chordata; Lepidosauria; Squamata; Lacertidae.
GAUAUCUCAGUUGGUAGAGUAUGAGACUCUUGAUCUCAAUAUCGUGAAUUUGAGACCCACGUUGGGCCA